CAUGCUCAUGGCUUAUGAGGCCAAGUCAAAUUAUGCAAGCACAUUUGAUUUCUACUGAGAGCAAGUGUACAUAUCCACCCAGGUUCCAUUGACCAAGCUCAACACUCAACCUCUCUCACAGCAGGAAGUGCUGAGUUUCAGAGUAGGGGAAAGCAAAUGGAUAUUUGCUGAAAAGAAUAUAGUCUACCACAGCCUGCUACCUUGGUCUUAAAUAUUAAUUUCCCUUCUGCAUGUAAAAGAUGCGCCUUUCCCCAAAGAUGGUAAGCCAACAAUGUCACCCAGGCAUACCAGUUUCAAAGAG
RNAcentral lists this long non-coding RNA (301 nucleotides) under Bos taurus (domestic cattle). Its description in RNAcentral is "long non-coding RNA NONBTAT012168". Lineage: Eukaryota; Metazoa; Chordata; Mammalia; Artiodactyla; Bovidae. The record is from RNAcentral.